GACGAACGCUGGCGGCGUGCUUAACACAUGCAAGUCGAACGGAAAGGCCCUGCUUUUGUGGGGUUCUCGAGUGGCGAACGGGUGAGUAACACGUGAGUAACCUGCCCUUUACUUUGGGAUAACUUCAGGAAACUGGGGCUAAUACCGGAUAGGAGCUCCUGCUGCAUGGUGGGGGUUGGUAAGUUUCGGCGGUUGGGGAUGGACUCCCGGCUUAUCAGCUUGUUUGUGGGGUAGUGGCUUACCAAGGCUUUGACGGGUAGCCGGCAUGAGAGGGUGACCGGCGACAUUGGGACUGAGAUACGGCGCAGAGUGCAACGGGAGGCAGCAGUGGGGAAUAUUGCACAAUGGGCGGAAGCCUGAUGCAGAAACGCCGCGUGCGGGAUGACGGCCUUCGGGUUGUAAAACGCUUUCGCAUGUGACGAAGCGUGAGUGACGGUAAUGGGUAAAGAAGCACCGGCUAACUACGUG
RNAcentral lists this ribosomal RNA (468 nucleotides) under uncultured bacterium. RNAcentral describes it as "partial 16S ribosomal RNA". It matches the Rfam family "Bacterial small subunit ribosomal RNA", at positions 28 to 507 of the family's 1533-position model. The record is from RNAcentral.